UUGGAGGGCAAGUCUGGUGCCAGCAGCCGCGGUAAUUCCAGCUCCAAUAGCGUAUAUUAAAGUUGUUGCAGUUAAAAAGCUCGUAGUUGAACUUCGGGGUCUACCCAUUGGUCAGGCUUAAUUGUCUGCACUGGUGAGAUGGAUCUCUACCUUCUGAGGAACUUUCAUGCCAUUUAUUUGGUGUGAUGGGAAAUCAGGACUGUUACUUUGAAAAAAUUAGAGUGUUUAAAGCAGACUAUCGUCUGAAUACAUUAGCAUGGAAUAAUGAAAUAGGACGGACUGAUUCUAUUUCGUUGGUUUCUAGGAUCACCGUAAUGAUUAAUAGGGAUAGUUGGGGGCAUUAGUAUUCAAUUGUCAGAGGUGAAAUUCUUGGAUUUAUUGAAGACCAACUACUGCGAAAGCAUUUGCCAAGGAUGUUUUCAUUAAUCAAGAACGAAAGUUAGGGGAUCGAAGACGAUCAGAUACCGUCGUAGUCUUAACCAUAAACUAUGCCGACUAGGGAUCGGACGAAGUUAAUUUUAUAAUGACGCGUUCGGCGCCUUACGGGAAAC
This 551-nucleotide ribosomal RNA is filed under the name uncultured Glomeromycotina. RNAcentral describes it as "SSU rRNA". It matches the Rfam family "Eukaryotic small subunit ribosomal RNA", at positions 548 to 1098 of the family's 1831-position model. The record is from RNAcentral. Lineage: Eukaryota; Fungi; Glomeromycota.